UGAUCCAGCCAUGCCGCGUGAGUGAUGAAGGCCUUAGGGUCGUAAAGCUCUUUCGCCUGUGAAGAUAAUGACGGUAGCAGGUAAAGAAACCCCGGCUAACUCCGUGCCAGCAGCCGCGGUAAU
RNAcentral lists this ribosomal RNA (123 nucleotides) under uncultured bacterium. Its description in RNAcentral is "partial 16S ribosomal RNA". It matches the Rfam family "Bacterial small subunit ribosomal RNA", at positions 384 to 524 of the family's 1533-position model. The record is from RNAcentral.